RNAcentral lists this ribosomal RNA (573 nucleotides) under uncultured bacterium. RNAcentral's name for it is "bacterial SSU rRNA". It matches the Rfam family "Bacterial small subunit ribosomal RNA", at positions 915 to 1509 of the family's 1533-position model. The record is from RNAcentral.
GGGGGCCCGCACAAGCGGCGGAGCAUGCGGAUUAAUUCGAUGCAACGCGAAGAACCUUACCAAGGCUUGACAUGGACCGGACCGGGCUGGAAACAGUCCUUCCCCUUUGGGGCCGGUUCACAGGUGGUGCAUGGUUGUCGUCAGCUCGUGUCGUGAGAUGUUGGGUUAAGUCCCGCAACGAGCGCAACCCUCGCCAUUAGUUGCCAUCAUUUAGUUGGGAACUCUAAUGGGACUGCCGGUGCUAAGCCGGAGGAAGGUGGGGAUGGCGUCAAGUCCUCAUGGCCCUUACAGGGUGGGCUACACACGUGCUACAAUGGCGACUACAGAGGGUUAAUCCUUAAAAGUCGUCUCAGUUCGGAUUGUCCUCUGCAACUCGAGGGCAUGAAGUUGGAAUCGCUAGUAAUCGCGGAUCAGCAUGCCGCGGUGAAUACGUUCCCGGGCCUUGUACACACCGCCCGUCACACCAUGGGAGUUGGUUCUACCCGAAGGCGAUGCGCUAACCCGUAAGGGAGGCAGUCGACCACGGUAGGGUCAGCGACUGGGGUGAAGUCGUAACAAGGUAACCGUAAGGGC